GUGGGGAAUCUUGCGCAAUGGGCGAAAGCCUGACGCAGCCAUGUCGCGUGAAUGAUGAAGGUCUUAGGAUUGUAAAAUUCUUUCACCGGGGACGAUAAUGACGGUACCCGGAGAAGAAGCCCCGGCUAACUUCGUGCCAGCAGCCGCGGUAAUACGAAGGGGGCUAGCGUUGCUCGGAAUUACUGGGCGUAAAGGGCGCGUAGGCGGACAGUUUAGUCAGAGGUGAAAGCCCAGGGCUCAACCGUGGAAUUGCCUUUGAUACUGGCUGUCUUGAGUACGGGAGAGGUGAGUGGAACUCCGAGUGUAGAGGUGAAAUUCGUAGAUAUUCGGAAGAACACCAGUGGCGAAGGCGACUCACUGGCCCGUUACUGACGCUGAGGCGCGAAAGCGUGGGGAGCAAACAGGAUUAGAAACCCGGGUAGUCC
RNAcentral lists this ribosomal RNA (425 nucleotides) under uncultured bacterium. RNAcentral describes it as "partial 16S ribosomal RNA". It matches the Rfam family "Bacterial small subunit ribosomal RNA", at positions 354 to 796 of the family's 1533-position model. The record is from RNAcentral.